Molecule: ribosomal RNA, 109 nt
Filed under: Klebsiella pneumoniae
Lineage: Bacteria; Pseudomonadati; Pseudomonadota; Gammaproteobacteria; Enterobacterales; Enterobacteriaceae
Description: partial 16S ribosomal RNA
Source: RNAcentral
UAAUGAAACGUUUUAUCAUGAAUCAGAUUUAACGCUGGCGGCAGGCCUAACACAUGCAAGUCGAGCGGUAGCACAGAGAGCUUGCUCUCGGGUGACGAGCGGCGGACGG